AGAAUCAACGCUGGCGGCGUGCCUAACACAUGCAAGUCGAACGAGAAAGUGGAGCAAUCCAUGAGUACAGUGGCGCACGGGUGAGUAACACGUGACUAACCUACCCUUGAGUUCGGAAUAACUUCGGGAAACCGAGGCUAAUACCGGAUAAUAUCUACGGAUCAAAGGAGCAAUUCGCUUAAGGAGGGGGUCGCGGCAGAUUAGUUAGUUGGCGGGGUAAUGGCCCACCAAGACGAUGAUCUGUAUCCGGCCUGAGAGGGCGCACGGACACACUGGAACUGAAACACGGUCCAGACUCCUACGGGAGGCAGCAGUGGGGAAUUUUGCGCAAUGGGGGAAACCCUGACGCAGCAACGCCGCGUGGAGGAUGAAAUCCCUUGGGAUGUAAACUCCUUUCGAUCGGGACGAUUAUGACGGUACCGGAAGAAGAAGCCCCGGCUAACUUCGCGCCAGCAGCCGC
This 460-nucleotide ribosomal RNA is filed under the name uncultured bacterium. RNAcentral describes it as "SSU rRNA". It matches the Rfam family "Bacterial small subunit ribosomal RNA", at positions 26 to 518 of the family's 1533-position model. The record is from RNAcentral.